CGAACGGGUGAGUAACACUGGGCAACCUGCCCAAAAGAGGGGGGAUAACACUUGGAAACAGGUGCUAAUACCGCAUAACCAUAGUUACCGCAUGGUAACUAUGUAAAAGGUGGCUAUGCUACCGCUUUUGGAUGGGCCCGCGGCGCAUUAGCUAGUUGGUGGGGGUAAAGGCUUACCAAGGCAAUGAUGCGUAGCCGAACUGAGAGGUUGAUCGGCCACAUUGGGACUGAGACACGGCCCAAACUCCUACGGGAGGCAGCAG
This 262-nucleotide ribosomal RNA is filed under the name uncultured bacterium. Its description in RNAcentral is "partial 16S ribosomal RNA". It matches the Rfam family "Bacterial small subunit ribosomal RNA", at positions 99 to 354 of the family's 1533-position model. The record is from RNAcentral.